AAAAAGGUAAGCUAAAUUAAGCUAAUGGGUUCAUACCCCAUUUAUAAAGGAUAAGCCUUUCCUUUUUA
Molecule: transfer RNA, 68 nt
Filed under: Podontia lutea
Lineage: Eukaryota; Metazoa; Arthropoda; Insecta; Coleoptera; Chrysomelidae
Description: tRNA-Met
Source: RNAcentral